GGAGCUGUGGAGAAGCGGGAGUUCUCGCCGGUUCGUCAGACCGGAGGCCGCGGGUUCAAGUCCCGCCGGCUCCA
Transfer RNA from Paenibacillus sp., 74 nucleotides. It matches the Rfam family "tRNA". Rfam says of the family: Transfer RNA (tRNA) molecules are approximately 80 nucleotides in length. NCBI's taxonomy places the organism in Bacteria, Bacillati, Bacillota, Bacilli, Caryophanales, Paenibacillaceae. The record is from Rfam.